CCUACGGGAGGCAGCAGUGGGGAAUAUUGGACAAUGGGCGAAAGCCUGAUCCAGCAAUUCCGCGUGUGUGAAGAAGGCCUUCGGGUUGUAAAGCACUUUAGUGGGGGAAGAAACAGCUUGGCCACACCAAGCCUUGACGGUACCCCAAGAAUAAGCACCGGCUAACUCUGUGCCAGCAGCCGCGGUAAUACAGAGGGUGCAAGCGUUAAUCGGAUUUACUGGGCGUAAAGGGUGCGUAGGUGGCUAUUUAAGUCGGAUGUGAAAGCCCGGGGCUCAACCUCGGAAUUGCAUUCGAUACUGAGUGGCUAGAGUUCGGUAGAGGGCGGCGGAAUUUCCGGUGUAGCGGUGAAAUGCGUAGAUAUCGGAAGGAACAUCAAUGGCGAAGGCAGCCGCCUGGGCCUGGACUGACACUGAGGCACGAAAGCGUGGGUAGCAAACAGGAUUAGAUACCCUGGUAGUCCACGCCGUAAACGAUGAGAACUUGACGUUGGUUCGUUUUACGAAUCGGUGUCGCNGCUACGACGAUAGUUACUCCGUCCGUCGGGUAGGUACGGCCGCGACGGUAGUAACGUAACGAAGUAGUAGACGNGNGAGAGCGACGACGACGACGACGGAGGAGG
RNAcentral lists this ribosomal RNA (620 nucleotides) under uncultured bacterium. RNAcentral describes it as "bacterial SSU rRNA". The stretch from base 1 to 538 matches the Rfam family "Bacterial small subunit ribosomal RNA", at positions 338 to 873 of the family's 1533-position model. The record is from RNAcentral.